Pyrgilauda ruficollis (rufous-necked snowfinch) is the source of this 2022-nucleotide long non-coding RNA. RefSeq lists it as uncharacterized. The record is from RefSeq and is a predicted model, not a curated record. Lineage: Eukaryota; Metazoa; Chordata; Aves; Passeriformes; Passeridae. The transcript is spliced from 2 exons.
GCCACAGCCCGGAGGGUCCCAGGGCCCCGCCCCGCCGGAGAGAGCGCGGCCUCCGCAGGCACCAUCGGAGGUCCGGGCGGCCGCCGGCCCCGCGGCUUGAUGGAUGAUCCCACACAGAAUCACUGAAUCAGUUAUGUUGGAAAAGACUUCUACAAUCAUUGAGUCCAGCCUGUGAAGGAUCAUAACCUUGUCAACUAGACCAGAGCCCAUCCAGGCUUUCCUUAAACAUCUCCAGGGAUGGUGACUCUACCACCUCCCUUGGCAGACCCUUCCAAUAUUUAAUCACCUUUUCUGUGAAAAUUCCUCUUAACGUACAACCUGAACUUCCCUUGCACAGCUUAAGACCCUGUCUUCUCAUUCUGUUGCUGGUUGCCUGGGAGAAGAGGCUAAUCCCCACCUGGGUAAACCUCCUUUCGGGUAGUUAAAGAAGUAAUGGUAAAAGCCACAAGCUUUUCAAGUAAUGAAAUAAUUUGAUGGAGGUUGUUCUGGUCAGAAGACAUUAUUAUGUAAAAAUGAAAUAAAGCUUAGAAAAAAAAAACAGGAUACAGAAAACUGGAUGGUAGGAAGUGGGUAAGGGCUUCCUCUCCAAAUAUGUCCAAAAGUAGGUAGAGUACCUGUGAAAUUACAAAUGCUGAUGGCAAGUGAGGAUUGUUUCAGGUGUAAUACUGCUGUAGUUUUAAGAAUUCAGCUGUGAUACAUCCUUUAUGUAUCUUCACAUAAAAAGUUCUAUUGUCCUGGAGAUAUGCUGGGCUGUAGGAACAAUAAUCCAAAGACACAAAAUGGUCAAAAGUAUAAGUUUUCAAAACAGUGCAUAAAGGCAAAACAAAAAAACCCAUACUUAUUUGAUUCCUUUUGAACUUCAAAUAUUUUAAGCUUUCUUUGUUUACUAUGAGCAGGAUUAAAGCUGUCUUUUACAUGAGGAAGUCUUGUCAUCAAGUGCUCCUGACCAAUCAUAACAUCUGUUUAUUUGGCAUUAAUUGUUUGCCUGAAUUCUACCUUGGAUAUGUAGCUGAAGUAGUUUUGAGUAGUCAUUUAAGCUAAUGCUAAAGAUAACUGGUGCACCCCAUUGGUUUGACUUUACUUGGCAGUCACCAACAUUCAUGGACAGUGAAAUGUAUAAAUUAGUUAAUCAGAUAAGUAAUCUUUUUCAGGUCGUAUAAGUGUUCAUGCUGAUACAAGGAAACACAAAAAAAAAGAGCAGGAUCAUUUUCAAUUCUAGUAGUAGUAUAGGAGCAUGAUUGCAUAAUGUUAGAGUGAAUUUUAAAACACUGAAAAUCUGUUUCAGUAGGAAAAAAUUACUUCUUCUCACAUUACUAAUAAGAAAAUUGUAUGUUCUGCCCAAUUAUGAAAGACCUUUUCUCUUCCAAAUUGCUUCACGAAACAGAACUACUGGCAUGCUAAACUCCUUUUUGGGGCUCUGAGCAAGCCAGACCAGAAUAGCAGUAUUAAAAUUAAAUUAGCUAUUGCACAUAUUUAUGAGCUGCCACUUCUGACCAAAGUCUCUGUUGAUAUUGGUUGUAUCAUUUGAAGCACUAUACAAGUAUGUUAUGGCUGUUACCUUCUAGAUAUGUGUAUAUUUGCAUAGGAACUAUCCAAAUGAAAUGAAAUUAAAGCAAGGACUUGUUUAUAAAGUGGACUUACUGAGGUCUGCUGGAUGGUGGUUUUUAUGUGGAGACUCAUUCUUCAGUGCUUUAUAUGUAAUGGAAAGAAAAUAGACUUAAUAUUUUUCAAAACCCAGUAGUAAUACUAGAAGCACUUUCUUUAAAAAUAAAAAUUAGUUUACAUUACUACUUGGAAAUUUCAAAAAUUAUCUUCUACUGUAGAAUGCAGAAAUCCCUGAAACUGUUCUUCCUGCACAGUAGCCUUUGAAGUGUACAUAUAUAUUUUAAAUAAUCCUCUUGAUUAUUCAAGUCUUAUUCACAGUAUGUUUCCAAGUGUGUCUAUAGAACAUUUAACAGGGAUUAUAUACUGUAUUAGUGUUGAACAUACAAUCUGUAUUCUGAUAAAUUAUUCUUAAAGGAA